Molecule: ribosomal RNA, 253 nt
Filed under: uncultured bacterium
Lineage: Bacteria
Description: partial 16S ribosomal RNA
Rfam family: Bacterial small subunit ribosomal RNA
Source: RNAcentral
UACAGAGGGGGCAAGCGUUAUUCGGAAUUAUUGGGCGUAAAGGGCGCGUAGGCGGCUUUGCAAGUGACGGGUGAAAUCCCUCGGCUUAACCGAGGAACUGCCUGUCAGACUGCAUGGCUUGAGACCAGGAGAGGUGAGUGGAAUUCCCAGUGUAGCGGUGAAAUGCGUAGAUAUUGGGAGGAACACCAGUGGCGAAGGCGGCUACCUGGACCGGUUCUGACGCUGAGGCGCGAAAGCGUGGGUAGCAAACAGG